RNAcentral lists this small nucleolar RNA (109 nucleotides) under Prolemur simus (greater bamboo lemur). Its description in RNAcentral is "Small nucleolar RNA SNORD23 (ENSPSMG00000023791.1)". The record is from RNAcentral. Lineage: Eukaryota; Metazoa; Chordata; Mammalia; Primates; Lemuridae.
UGUUUAAAGACUAGGGAAGGUCCCUGUGCCCCCCAGGGGCUGUGGUUGACACCAUGGCUGCCCCCAGUCUGGGCCAUUGGGGCCAAUGAGUGCCCAGGGACAGUGGACA